GUCAAAAACGAAGCACAUGUUUGGAUUCCAAUGGCUCCAGUGCUAAGAAAUAUUCCAGAAAAGAUGUGACGUUAUAUUCACCUCCUGUUGGAAAGUUCAGUGAACGAGCUGGCACAUAUGAAGCAGGUCAGGGACGUGGACGAGGUCGUGGACGUGGUCGUGGUUUCCGUGGAAGAAGAUAUUAACAGGACCAUAAAUCAAUCAUUGUUUUUAAAUUCUUACAUUUCAUGUUUUUUAAUGACAUUAUUCAAAAUAAUCUCAGUUCAGAAAAUAAACUUUUUGAUAAAACAUGAACUAAACAUAGGAGUUUCUUCAUAAUUGAGAUGGAUAUAUGAGGUAUGUAUUCCGUAAACAUUGCAAAAAAGUUCCAGUUAGAUAGAGAUAGAUGUCUGUCUACCAGUUAUUCUUUUAUGUAAAGAAGGUAUGUUAACUGAUUGAAGUAAAUCACUGUAAAUUCAGAAAUUAUUACGAUGUUUUUAUUAUUAUUGUUAAAAAUUUCACCUGGGUAAUAAUCGCAGUAAUUUAAACUUGCAUUUAAGAAAACAAUUGUAUGAAUUAAACAGGAUUUUUCUCAAUAUCGCAAAAAAUUAAUAUUUUUUUUGUCUGAAAUGACAAAUUGCAAUGAUAAAUGUACGCAAUACUUUCUGAAUUUACGGUGUUCAGCAUCCUUAAAUAUUGUCUAUUGAGAAAAGAUGAUUAAAAACUAGAUGUAAGAUUUAUAUUAAAAUCAGAAAGGACUGUAUUGUAUUGGGGGUUGAAGUCUUGUUUUGGGAAUAGCCUGAGCCCACGUUUCCUAACUUUUGUUGAUGGUUUUACAUUUUAUAGAUUUUUUUCCCCUCUCAUGACAUCAAUAUUUAGGAGAGGCAUACUUUUUUUUAAUUUUUUUCAAAAUCAUAUCUUUCUUAUGUAAUUUGACUGGAGAUCACUACAGAUGACCAGUUUUGUCCCGGCUAAUUGUCCAUAGUUGGAGGGGCACAAAAGGGUCAAACUUCCAAAAGAAGCAGAUUUUUGUGGGGCUACCAAAGACAAGUUUGUCAUUUCUACUCUUCAAGAUAAUUGGUCAAUUUAUUAUCUUGUAUCAUAAGUGUUAAAUCUUGAAGUAACAUUUGAGUUGAGCUACCCUCAGUUAUUUAGUGGAAAUGACUGAUCCCUCUCAAUUAUAGGGUAUGAUGACAUAAUAACAUUGUUUCCAGUGGAGAUGGCUGAAUUCAGGUAAAGUAGUCACAAGGCAUGUCUCAUAGUAUUUAUUUUUGUUUAGAGGUAAGUUUAACCUGAGAACAAACAAUGAUUGAUUUGUGGUGUAGGGAAGAUAACAGCUGCAUCCAGAUAAUGAUGGAAUUACCUCUCUUUGAAAUGGAAGAUGACAACAUGGAAAGCUGUCUGGAGAAAGUGACUUACAUUUGCUUCAUAGAUUCACCAUAUUUUGAUUUCUUAAUUCAAUAUUUUUUGCUUUAUUGUACAUAAUGAUAUAAAAAAGAGAUCAAGUUUUGAAAACCAUUAUCUUUUAUUGAAAAAAGUUAAGAAAUCACACACUUUAAGUAGCUGUUGUUUAUUUUAUUGUUAUUUUUGAAUAAAAUAAUGAAUAUUU
Mytilus trossulus (common blue mussel) is the source of this 1588-nucleotide long non-coding RNA. RefSeq lists it as uncharacterized. Lineage: Eukaryota; Metazoa; Mollusca; Bivalvia; Mytilida; Mytilidae. The record is from RefSeq and is a predicted model, not a curated record. The transcript is spliced from 2 exons.